GGGGGUGCCCAGGUUUCGACGGGGAUUGGAAGCGAAGGUGGCAUGCCGGGGACGCCAGUUGGCCUCGUUAAAAAACUGGCAUCAAUACAAACGCCGACACUGACGUUUCGUACGCACUGGCAGCUUAAUUGCUGCCACGUCUUCAGGCCGAGUGCCUGCGUAGGUUUGAAGACGUCAAUUUAGUGGGCUAGCUUUUGUGAAGGUCUGUGGCGCAAAGGCGAAAUCAAAGCAGAAUCGCCGUUCAAGUAUCCUGUCCAUGGGAGCCUUGAUCGGUUAAAUCCAAUACACGGACUACGCAUGUAGAAGCCUUACGUGAAAGAUUUUCGGACGCGGGUUCGAUUCCCGCCACCUCCACCA
Molecule: transfer-messenger RNA, 357 nt
Filed under: Trichloromonas acetexigens
Lineage: Bacteria; Pseudomonadati; Thermodesulfobacteriota; Desulfuromonadia; Desulfuromonadales; Trichloromonadaceae
Description: Standard tmRNA
Rfam family: transfer-messenger RNA
About the family: Bacterial tmRNA, also known as 10Sa RNA or SsrA, is named for its dual tRNA and mRNA-like properties. Its role is to liberate the mRNA from a stalled ribosome.
Source: Rfam by way of RNAcentral